CGGACGGGUGAGUAAUGUCUGGGAAACUGCCUGAUGGAGGGGGAUAACUACUGGAAACGGUAGCUAAUACCGCAUAACGUCGCAAGACCAAGAGGGGACCUUCGGGCCUCUUGCCAUCGGAUGUGCCCAGAUGGGAUUAGCUAGUAGGUGGGGUAACGGCUCACCUAGGCGACGAUCCCUAGCUGGUCUGAGAGGAUGACCAGCCACACCGGAACUGAGACACGGUCCAG
This 230-nucleotide ribosomal RNA is filed under the name uncultured bacterium. Its description in RNAcentral is "partial 16S ribosomal RNA". It matches the Rfam family "Bacterial small subunit ribosomal RNA", at positions 99 to 334 of the family's 1533-position model. The record is from RNAcentral.